CGUCCAUUCAAGAACAAAACAACUCUGGAACUCAAGAGGGCAUAGAAAAACAAGAAGAUAAGCAGAGUGUAUCCGUAUAUUCGACGACCGGUUUGGCCUAGUGGGUAGUGACCCUGCCUACGAAGCUGAUGGUCCCGGGUUCAAAUCCUGGUAAGGGCAUUUAUUCGUGUGAUGAGCAUGGAUAUUUGUUCCUUAGUCACGGGUGUUUUCUAUGUAUUUAAGUAUUUAUAAAUAUUUAUAUAUUAUAUAUAUCGUUGUCUAAGUACCCUCAACACAAGCCUUAUUGAGCUUACUGUGGGACUUAGUCAAUUUGUGUAAUAAUGUCCUAUAAUAUUUAUUUUGCAGUAUCCCUUUUUUGCGGGGUUCUAGGAGGCUAAAAAUGUUUCUAAUACAACUAGAUGUCGGGAGGGUCCGGGAGACUUACCUCCGUUAUUUUACGUACACGGACGGACGUAUAUGGACAUACCCCAUUUCAUUUGCGAUGGCGGGAUUCCACUUGAGACGUAAACAAUUAUAUUUGCAGCGUCGUGUCUUACAUGUAUCUGUCCAGUAUUUAUUUUUUUGUGUUAUUAUUUGACCACACGCGGGCUUUGAAGGCCGGAGCUCGUAAAGCAAUUGUUAAACAAUAGAUCAACAUUAUGGUUCUAUUUGUGCAGUUCCAAGUGGACCGCCAUCGCAAAUGAAAGACAAUAUGUGCCUAUACCACAGAAUAAAUAAUAGUACUACUGUACAGAAAUGACACUUCCUACAAAACCGAAGUUUGACAGCGAUUCAGGGACAAAUCAUGCUGUCUCUUUUAUAUGGCAUUAUCCCUUUCGGCUAUUUAGGGUUGUCAAAAUUCAAGUCAUUAUCUUAUUUGUGGUAUACACAAGUUGUGCCAACUUUAAUAAUUGCUCGGAGAAAUGCUGAGCCGAACGGAGCCGACAAUGCCCGAACGCUCUAGUGUCUCCCUACUGACAUUAUAAAUAAAUCAAGCACUUUUUCAAAGCUCAAGCCCGAGUUCAAGUCUCUGACUUGGGAAAUUCUCCCAGACUCACCCUAAGCUUGGGUUUGGAUUUUGUUUGGUUUGGGGCAAGUAUACAUUUACUUAGUAUAUAAGAUUGCACGCUUACCUCACCGUAUAAUAGGGAGCGUGCAUGAACUGUAGAAGGCAGCACAGGAGCCGUCAGAUUUUUGGCGCGAGGCGUAAAUGUGAUGUUUAUUGUUCCGAUGUAGCCCACAAGAUGGCAGAACCUACUAUGCACAAGAAAACACGUGACGUGUAAAUGUACAUGUUUAUGGUUCCGAUUCAGGCCACAAGAUGGCAGACCCUCCAAC
Molecule: long non-coding RNA, 1317 nt
Organism: Cydia pomonella (codling moth)
Lineage: Eukaryota; Metazoa; Arthropoda; Insecta; Lepidoptera; Tortricidae
Exons: 2
Source: RefSeq, a predicted model, not a curated record